This 233-nucleotide ribosomal RNA is filed under the name uncultured bacterium. RNAcentral's name for it is "partial 16S ribosomal RNA". It matches the Rfam family "Bacterial small subunit ribosomal RNA", at positions 103 to 334 of the family's 1533-position model. The record is from RNAcentral.
CGGGUGAGUAACACGUAUCCAACCUGCCGUCUACUCUUGGCCAGCCUUCUGAAAGGAAGAUUAAUCCAGGAUGGCAUCAUGAGUUCACAUGUCCGCAUGAUUAAAGGUAUUUUCCGGUAGACGAUGGGGAUGCGUUCCAUUAGCUAGUUGGCGGGGUAACGGCCCACCAAGGCAACGAUGGGUAGCCGGUCUGAGAGGAUGACCGGCCACACUGGAACUGGAACACGGUCCAG